GUCCCUGUAGCGCAUUUGCUAGUGCGUUGGACUUCUAAUCCAAAGGUCGUGGGUUCGAAUCCCACCUGGAAUG
Molecule: non-coding RNA, 73 nt
Organism: Trichonephila clavata
Lineage: Eukaryota; Metazoa; Arthropoda; Arachnida; Araneae; Nephilidae
Source: the annotation of a GenBank genome assembly